Molecule: ribosomal RNA, 767 nt
Filed under: Liparocephalus cordicollis
Lineage: Eukaryota; Metazoa; Arthropoda; Insecta; Coleoptera; Staphylinidae
Description: bacterial SSU rRNA
Rfam family: Eukaryotic small subunit ribosomal RNA
Source: RNAcentral
CACGGGGAGGUAGUGACGAAAAAUAACGAUACGGGACUCAUCCGAGGCCCCGUAAUCGGAAUGAGUACACUUUAAAUCCUUUAACAAGGAUCAAUUGGAGGGAAAGUCUGGUGCCAGCAGCCGCGGUAAUUCCAGCUCCAAUAGCGUAUAUUAAAGUUGUUGCGGUUAAAAAGCUCGUAGUCGGAUUUGUGUCCCGCGCCGCUGGUUCAUCGCUCGCGGUGUUCAACUGGCGUUUCGCGGGACGUCCUGCCGGUGGGUUUAUCAACAUUUUCGUUUCGGCGAUGGUUGGUGGCCCAACUCGUAUCCGUUUUGCGCGGGUGCGAAUCCCAUCGCGGUGCUCUUUAUUGAGUGUCGAGGUGGGCCGGCACGUUUACUUUGAACAAAUUAGAGUGCUUAAAGCAGGCCAAUUUUGCCUGAAUAUUGUGUGCAUGGAAUAAUAGAAUAGGACCUCGGUUCUAUUUUGUUGGUUUUAAGAACCCCGAGGUAAUGAUUAAUAGGAACGGUUGGGGGCAUUCGUAUUGCGACGUUAGAGGUGAAAUUCUUGGAUCGUCGCAAGACGGACAGACGCGAAAGCAUUUGCCAAAAACGUUUUCAUUGAUCAAGAACGAAAGUUAGAGGUUCGAAGGCGAUCAGAUACCGCCCUAGUUCUAACCAUAAACGAUGCCAGCUAGCGAUCCGCCGACGUUCCUCCGAUGACUCGGCGGGCAGCUUCCGGGAAACCAAAGCUUUUGGGUUCCGGGGGAAGUAUGGUUGCAAAGCUGAAACUU